UUAUUUAAAAAAUUUUAUUAUUACUAUUACUAUUAUUAUUAUUAUUAGCUAUUGAGCUGUAUGAGUGACUUAUAUAUUUUGGAUAUUAAUCCCUUAUAUUUGUUUAUUUUUGUUUUUGUUUCCUAUAAAACAUAGGCAGAUGGUGUCAGAUCCAAAAAAUUAUUGCCAAGACCAAUGUAAGGAAGAUUUCCCUCCAUGUUUUCUUUUAGCAGUUUUAUGAUUUCAGGUCUUAUAGUUAAGUUUUUAAUCCAUUUGGAGUACUUUUUUUUGUAAGGGCGGUAAGAUAGGAGUCCACUUCUUUAAUAUGUGCAUAUAUCCAGUUUUCCCAACACUAUUCACUGAAGAGACUACACUUUCCUUAUCAAGUAUUUUUAACUCUCUUGCCAAAUAUUAGUUGACUGUGUAUGCAUGGGUUUAUUUCUAGACUCUUGAUUCUGUUCCAUACUAUUUGUCUGUUUUUAUGCUAAUAACAUACAAUACCAUACUGUUUUGAUUAGUACAGCUUUGUAGUAUAGUUUGAAAUCAGGAAGUGUAAUGCCUCUAGCUUUAUUCUGUCUUAGGGCUGCUCUGGAUGGUUGGAGUCUUUUGUAAUUUCAUAUGAAUUUUAGAAUUCUUUUUUCUGAUUUUGUUAAAAAUGCCAUUGGAAAUUUAAGAGAUUGCACUGAGUCUGUAGAUGACUUUGGGUAAUGUGGACAUUUUAACAAUUUAACAAUUUGAAGAAUUUACCAAUUCUGAUCCAUGAAUAUGGGUAUCUUUUUAUUUAUUUGUGUCUUCUUCAACUUCUUUCAUCAAAGUCUUAUAAUUUUCAGUAUAUGGGUCUUUCACCUCCUUGGUUAAAAUUAUUCCUAGGUAUUUUAUUCUUUUUGAUGCAUUUGUAAAUGGGAUUGUUUUAUUUCUUUCUUUUUCAAAUAGUUUGUUCAUGAAUAGAUAUGCAACCGUUUGUAAGUUGGUUUUGUAUCCUGCAACUUUACUGAAUUUAAUAGUUCUUGGAGUUUUUUUUUUUUUUAUGAAGUCUUUCAGACUCUCUACAUGAAAGAUCAUACAUCUGCAAACAGAGAUAUGUGAACAGAAAGAGGAAUAAAAUUCUUUCCCACCCUUUGUCAGGAAGUCUAUUUUCCUGAGACAAAGGUAGAGUAUACCAUGUUUUCCUUAAUAUAUUCCUGAUACCUCUCAUGAGUGUAGAUGCUUUUGGAUCCCUCCAUUAAUUUUCUACCCUUCUUUGUUUUGGGUGGCAAGGUGAGUUUUAAAAGUUUCUGUGUUUUCAUGGCUGUUUUGCUGGCAAUUGGGAGAGGUUCUACAAGAGAAGAAGUGAGGGACUUUUAACCAUAUGCCAUUUUGUAAUGAAAUUCUCCAACCCAGAAGAGUUUUACUUUUUUCAAAGACUGGUUAAUUGAAACACUACUUAUCUCUUAACUAUUUUACUAUUUCCAAUAUACCCUUAGAUGAUGAACAGUGGGUCCUUUUGUUAAUAAAACUGAGCAACAAGUAGUCAAAAAUCUGCUUUCAAUUAUUCCUGCUACACGAGGUCCUACUUAAGAAAUGUUGUUGUCUGCUCUUGUCUCCUGGGAGCUUCUAGAUGUUUACUUGUGCAGAUCACCUCCUGAAUGGGGUAGAGUGAACCUCACAUUCCAACCGUUUGUACCAGUUCCAAGUAUGGGGUCUGUGGGUUCAUGCACCAGCCUCCACCCGUCAGACAGUAAUCUUUCCUCAUUCACUUAGCAUCAGUGUCAUGAAUAUCAUUGUCUGUAAUUUGUCAUAGUACAGUGAAACUUUCUGGGCUCUGGAAAAGCUGUUAUCUCUUAUAUACAGCAGCUCCAAAUUUACAUGCUUUCUGACUUCUUCAUUGUACUUUUUAAUAUCUCUCUAGCUUUUCCUGUUUUUUCAGUGUGUCAGCUGUAGGAACUUGAUGUAUUCAGAUUAUCAUGUCUCUCUCAAUUUGUUGCUUUCAGUCUGAUAUGAGUUGGAAAAAACACAUAUCCAUUUUUAUGGGAAUUGUGUCAAUGAAUGAGAUCCUAUGACUAAAAAAAAAAAUUCCUGUGUCCACAAAGAGUAGAGUAUAUGUUAUCUUGUCUACCUUUUCCCGGUUUGUAAGAAUACUUCUAACGUCUACCUGUAGGUGGUUCCCAGGCAGGUGUGGUUGUGGGCGCUCCAGUGUAUGUGCAGGAUGCUGCCCAGGGGCCAUCCCAGCUGCCAUUGCUGCUUUUAGGAUACUGCAGUUGGAGUUAGGCAGCUGUGGAGCCCCAUCUGUCCUGCUAGCUUGUGUUCCCUGCAGGAGCUCAUAAAUUAUUUUCCACGCAGAUCAGAGCUGGAAUGGUAUAGACUCAUGAGUGUAUUUCUUAGUUUCUGAGACUAGCUUCUUGUUUGCCCUUUUGCACAAUUAUAUCCCCACCCCUUUGUCUCAGUCACAAGCAUGGGAUCUGUGGGCUGGUGUGCCUGCUUCCACCCCUUCACCAGUCAUGAAUGCCCAGUUUGGACUAUAUUAAUCAUAUCUUUUCAAAUGGCUCCAUAAACAGUGGUAUCACCUGUGCCAGCCCAGCCACAACUGGUUUUGGUGAGGUGCAAGUCAUGGAGGUGGAGGGAGUAGGUGGUUCUUCCUUGUGACACAAACUUGGUCUUAUUCCAAUCUUCACCCUCACAAAAGGACUUAUCCUGUCAUGUGCCACAGAGAUUUAGCCAUCAAGCCACAGGUAGAUUGGCUUUCCAACCUGUCACCCACCUUCCUCUCUAUUCCUUUUAUCUCAUGUUGCCCUGGCCAAACUGGGUUGAGGAUCUGAAAGUCUGGCCAGUGGUGGGCAUGGCUUCACAAUGACCACGAUGAGUUUUUCUCAGGCUCACCUAGUCAUUCAGACUCACAGCCCCAAUAGGCCACACUUGGUCCAUUUUUCUCAGAAAGAUAUAGGAGAGGAAAUACAACACAGGCUUCCUACUUUUGUACUUCUAGUUCAUACACGGUCCUUUUAACAUGGAUGCUGUUUACCAUUCAAGAGUCAUUUUACCCAAAAGUAAUGUUUUUGGUAACACAGUGGACAUUUUACAUGUGUCAGAUUUUCAGAAAAGAGCUAGAAAGUUAAUCCUAUGUAAGAUUAGUCACUAGAGAAAGAGAUAAAUGGGUUUGUUAACCCUUCGCCCAUGAGAAGUCACGGGUUGUAGCAGAUGGCAGAGUUAUGGCCAAAUUGAAUACUGGUGUAGACUCUUGAGAAUGUCUUGUAGUUUCUGGCAAUAGCUCUUUGAUUGCCCUUUUGUACAAUUUUAGAUUCUCAAAAGGAGUGAUAUAAUAUUUUGGAGGGAUAAAAGGACUGCCCUUUAAAAGAGAAUAAAGUAUUCUCUGAGUGCAAAGAAAAGAGACCAUAGUCACAUAGUUAACUUCUAAGACAGUUGAUUUAAGCCUUUGUCAGUAAGUCAAUGCCCAUGUUUCUUCAGAAACCAUUUAUAUUAACUUCUUCUCCUUUUUUAUCCAAUUUUUAAAGUCCUUUGUGAUUUUAUUUUUGUGUUCGGUGUAAGAAGUGGUCCAGUUUUCCCAACACCAUUUGCUGAAUAGACUGUCUUCUCCUCAUUGUAUAUUCCUGCCUCCUUUAUUGUAAAUGAAUGGGCCAUGUAAAUGUGGGUUUAUUUCUGGGCUCUCUAUUCUGCUCUAUUGAUCUAUGUGUCUAUUUUUGUGCCAGUAUCGUUUUGGGUUUUUUUGUUUUCUUUCUUUUUUUCUUUCUUUCUUUCUUUCUUUCUUUCUUUCUUUCUUUCUUUCUUUCUUUCUUCUACUAAAGCUUUGCAGUGUAUUUUGAAAUCUAACACUGUGAUACCUCUGCUUUGUUCUUCUUUCUCAAGAUUUCUUUGGCUAUUCAGGGUCUUUUGUUGUUCCAUACAAAUUUUCAUAUUAUUUGUUCUAGUUCUAUGAAAAAUGAUGUUGGCAUAUUGCACUAAAUCUGUAGAUUGCCUUGGGUAGUAUGGACAUUUUAACAGUAUUGAUUCUUCCAAUCCAUAAGCAUUGAAUAUCUUUUAAUUUUUUUGUGUCAUCUUCACUUUCUUUCAUCAAUGUUUUAUAGUUUUUAGAGUGCAGACCUUUCACCUUCUUGAUUAAGGUUAUUCCUAGGUAUUUUAUUAUUUUUGGUACAAUUAUAAAUGGUAUUGUUAUUCUUAAUUUCCAAUUGUACAGCAUAGAAGGAAUGGAUAAAAUCCAUUUGUAAUAACCUACUGAAACAGAAUCAGGAAUAAGAAAAUGUGAAUAGACUGAUUGCUAGCAAUAAAAUUGGAUCAGUAAUCAAAAAACUCCCAACAAACAAAAGUUCAGGACCAGAUGGCUUCACAGAUGAAUUCUAGCAAACUUUAAAGAAGAGUUAAUAUCUAGUCUUCUCAAACUAUUCCAAAAAUAGAAGAGGAAGAAAAGUUUCAAAAUUCAUUCUAUGAGACCAAUGUUACCCUGUUAUCAAAACCAGAUAAAGACACUAAAAAAAGAGAGAACUACAACCCAGUAUCUCUGAUGAACAUAGAUGCAAAAGUCCUCAACAGAAUAUUAGCAAACUGAAUCCAAUAAUACACUGAAAAAAAAAUCAUUGACCACUAUCAAAUGGGAUUUAUUCCAGGGAUUAAGUGUGGUUCAGUAUUUGCAAAUCAAUCAGUGUGAUACAUCACAUCAACAAGAGAAAGGAUAAAACCAUAGGAUCAUCUUAAUAGACGCAGAAAAAGCAUUUGACAAAGUAUAACAUCAAUUCAUGAUGAAAACUGUCAUCAAAGUGGGUUUACAGAGAAAAUACCUCAGCCUAAUAAAGGCCUUAUAUAAAAAACCCACAGCUAACAUCAUACUCAAUGGUGAAAAACUGAGACCUUUUCCUCUAAGAUCAGGAACAAGUCAAGGAUGUACACUCUCACCACUUUUAUUCAACAUGAUACUGGAAGUCCUAGCCACAGCAAUCAGACAAGAAAAAGAAAUAAAAGGAAUCCAAAUUGGCAAGGAAGAAGUACAAUUUUCACUAUUUGCCAUGACAUGGUACUAUAUAUAGAAAACCCUAAAGAGUCCAACCAAAAAUUACUAGAAUUGAUAAAUGAAUUCAGUAAAGUCACAGGAUACAAAAUUAAUAUACAGAAAUUUUGAUGCAUUUCUAUAUACUUCUCUGUUUAAAUUAAUGGACUCUAUUUUUUUAGAGCAGUUUUAGUUUUACAGAAAAGUUGAGUAAAUAGUUCAGAAAGUUCUCAUGUACCCCUUCUCCACUAGACAGUUUUUCCUAUUACAACAUUUUGCAUUAGUGUGGUAUAUUAUAUAAUAGAUAUAUUAGUAUUAACUAAAGUCCAUAAUUUACAUUUGGAUUCAGCCUUUGUGUUAUAUAGUUCUGUGGGCUUUGAAAAAUGCAUAAGGUCAUAUAUCCACAAUUAUAAUAUCAUAUGGAAGGAACAGUUUUACUGUACUAAAAAUCCUCUGUGCCCUGGUUAUUCAUCCCUCCCUCUCCAAAACCCUAAAAACCACUGAUCUUUUUAUCUUUAAUUUUGCCUUUUUAAGAAUGUCAUAGAGUUGGAAUUAUACAGCAUGUAGCCUUUUCAGAUUUGUUUCUUUUACUUAGAAAUAUGCCUUCUGGUUCUUCUAUGACUCUUUGUGGUUUGAUCACUUAUUUCUUUUCAGGACUGAAUAACAUCCCAUUGUUUGGAUAUACCACAGUUUGUUUACCUUUCAUCCCACUGAAGGACAUCUUGUUGCUUUCAGUUUUGGGGAGUUAUGAAUAAAGCUGCUACAAACAUCUACAUGCAAGCUUUUUUUGCAGACUAGAUUUUCAAUUCAUUUGGGUAAAUACCUAGGAUUGUAAUUGCCAGAUAAUAUGGUAAGAGUGCACUUAAGAAACUGUCAGACUGUCUUCCAAAAUGUCUGUACCAUUUUGAAUUCCCACCAAAAAUGAAUGAGAAUCACUGUUGCUCCAUACCCUUACCAAUAUUUGGUGUUGUUUCAGGAUUUUGGCCAUUUUAAUGGGUGUGUAAUGGUAUCUCAUUGUUUUAAUUUGCAAUUCUCUGGUGACAUCUGACAUUGAGUAUCUUUUCAUAUGCUUAUUUGCUAUUUGAUGAGGUCUCUGUUCAGAUCUUUUCCCCAUUUUUAAAUUGUGUUAUUUUCUUAUUGCUGAAUUCAAGAGUUCAUUGUAUAUUUUGGACACAAGUCCUUUAUCAGAUAUGUGUUGUGUAAAUAUUUUCUCCCAGCCAGUGGCUUGUUUUUUCAUUGCCUGAAUUGUGUCUUUUGCAAAGUAGAAAAAUUUAAUUUUAAUGAAGUCCAAUUUAACAAUGUUUUCUUUGAUGGAUUGUGCUUUUGAUGUUGUGUCUAAAAGGUCAUCUCCAAACCCAAGGUGACCUAAAUUUUCACCUAUAUUAUCCCCUAGAAGUUUUCUAGUUUUAUGUUUUACAUUUAGGUUUACGAUCCAUUUAUGGCUAAUUUUGGUCAAAAGUGUAAUACCUGUGUCUAGAUCCUCUCUCUCUUUUUUUUUUUUUUUUGCAUAUGGAUGUCUAGUAGUUCUAGCACCAUUUGUUGAAAAGACUAUCUUUUCUUUACUGAAUUGCCUUUGCUUCUUUGUCAAAGACCAGUUGGCUAUAUUUGUGUAGGCCUAUUUCUGAGUUAUUCAUUUUGGUCCAUUGAUCUGUUCAUUCUUUCACCAGUAUCAUACUGUCUUGAUUACUGUAGCUUUAUAGGAAGUCUUGAAGUUGGGUAAUGUCACUUCUCAGUUUCUUUUUUUUUUUAAUGUUUAUUUUAUAUUUGAGAGAGACAGAGCAUGAGCCAGGGAAGGACAGAGUGAGAGAGAGAGAGAGGCACAGAAUCCAAAGCAGGUUCCAGGCUCUGAGCUGUCAGCACAGAGCCCAACACGGGGCUCGAACUCGAACUGUGAGGUCAUGACCUGAGCUGAGGUUGGAUGCUUAACCGAUUGAGCCAUUCAGAUGCCCCAGGUAGUGUCAGUUCUCUAACUUUGUUCUUUUCCUUUUUCUCCUAUAAAUGGGUAAUAGUUUAUAAUUUAUUUGCAUGCCUCUGUUGUUUAAAGUAGGCAUUUUGAAUAUUAUAAUGUGGUAACUCAGGUUCUCCUGUCUCCCAGGGUUUGCUGUUGCUGAUUGUCAUGGGAGUACUGUUGGCUGUUUGUUUAGUGACUGCUCUAAACUAUUUUGUAAAGACUAUAUUCUUUGUUAUGUGUGGCAUUGUAUUCUGUGCUUGAUUCACUUAGUGGCCAGCUAGUGUUUGAUAGAGAUUUUCUUAAAUAUCUAGAGAUAAAAUGAAACAAAACUUUGGAUUUUUGUAGAUUGGUUCUGUGUGGAAACAUUUCCUGGAUGUUUAUCCAGGCUGUUUACAACUCUGCCCUAGCUUUCACUUUCGGCUUUCACAGAGCCAAAGGUCAACCAAAGGUGAAAGUUUAGGAUUUUCUUAGCUCUUUUCUGAACAUGCAUCCAGCCCUAGACAGGGGUGGCUUUCUAGAUUCCCUGGUUCACAUGGAGAUUUCCAAAGACUCUUAUCUACCACGUAUCUCUUUUGUGAGCUUCUUCCUUCCCUGGCUUUUUGAUGUGUGUGCUGUUUGUCACAUUUGCUAUUCCUUGUUCCAGUGCCUGUGGCUAGUAUAUUUGCCUAUAAAGAUUUUCAGUAAACAUUACCCAGGAGGUUUCUCCAGCCCUGAGAAAGUUCUGAAAAGAGUGAAACAAAGCCAAGCCCCUGAGUGCAUCCCUCAGAGAAUGCCUAGACAGGUUAAAACACAGAAGCACAAUUUUUUGAUGAUAAGGUCUGUAUUGCCUCCCCUGGUACCAGCAAGCUGCAUAACUGGAGAAUAUAUCACAUUUAAUUAUGCAAACAGAAAUGACUCUGAUAGUGAAUGAAAAGAUCAUUGGGAUUUUGUGUUAGGAAGUGGAGGUCUGAGAGCAAUCAUCCAAUAUUUAUAUGUCUUAAUGUAUAUUGUAUUUCUAGAAUUUGGACACAUAUCAAGAUGCCCUGAAGAACAGCACAACCCUUUGGGGAAUAGCCUUUUAAACAUCAUGACCAAAGACAAAGAAUCUAUCACCAGAAGCUUUUGCUUUGUGUACAUUUUGACCUUAAUAGUUGGAACCAUAAUCCAGUUCUCUGAUGAAAGUGAAUUUGCAGUAGACAUGUCGAAAAUGAAACUUACGCAUGUUCCAAAAGACCUGUCACCAAAAACCAAAGUCUUAGAUAUAUCUCAAAACUACAUAUCUAAGCUUCACAUCUCUGACAUUAGCUAUCUCUUACGGCUGGAAGUUUUGACACUUUCCUAUAAUAGACUCCAGUGCCUCGAUUUUAGCAUUUUCAAGUUCAACCAGGAUUUGGAAUAUUUGGAUUUAUCUCACAAUCAGUUGCAGAAGACCUCUUGCCACCUUAUCAGGAGUCUCAAGCAUUUAGACCUCUCAUUCAAUGACUUUGAUGUCCUGCCCAUCUGUAAGGAAUUUGGCAACUUGACGCAACUGAAUUUCUUAGGAUUAAGUGGUACAAGGUUACGACAAUUAGAUCUGCUACCAAUUGCUCAUUUGCAUCUAAGUCACAUCCUUCUGGAUUUAGAAGGUUAUUAUGCAAAAGAAAGUGAAACAGAAAGUCUUCAAAUUCUGAAUACAAAAACACUUCACCUUGUUUUUCACCCAAAUCAGUUAUUCUCUGUCCAAGUGAACAUAUCAGUUAACAGUUUAAGGUGCUUACAACUGACUAAUAUUAAAUUGAAUAACGACAACUGUCAAAUUCUAAUUAAAUUUUUAUCAGAACUCAUUAGAGGCCCAACUUUACUGAAUUUUACUCUCAAACAUGUGGAAACAACUUGGAAAUGCCUGGUUAGAGUUUUUCAAUUUCUUUGGCCCAAACCUGUAGAAUAUCUCAAUAUUUACAAUUUAAUAAUAGUUGAAAGCAUUGAUGAAGAAGAUUUUACUUAUUCUAAAACAGCACUGAAAGCAUUGAAAAUAGAGCAUGUUACAAACAGAGUUUUUAUUUAUUCACAGACGGUGUUAUAUACAUUUUUUUCUGAGAUGAACAUUAUGAUGUUAACCCUAUCAGAUACACCUUUUAUACACAUGCUUUGUCCUCAGACAUCAAGCACAUUUAAAUUUUUGAACUUUACCCAGAAUGUUUUCACAGACAGUGUAUUUCAAAACUGUUCCAAACUAGUUAGAUUGGAAACCCUUAUCUUACGAAAGAAUAAAUUAAAAGGCCUUUACAAUAUAGGUCUCAUGACUAAGCAUAUGACAUCUUUGGAAAUAUUGGAUGUUAGUUGGAAUUCUUUGGAAUAUGAUAGACAUGAUGGAAAUUGCACUUGGGGUGGGAGUAUAGCAGUGUUAAAUUUGUCUUCAAAUAUACUUACUGACUCUGUUUUCAGAUGUUUACCUCCUAAGGUCAAGGUACUUAAUCUUUAUGAUAACCGAAUAAGGAGCAUUCCUAAACUAAUCAUGAAACUAGAAGCUUUGCAAGAACUCAAUGUUGCCUCCAAUUCCUUAGCCCACCUUCCUGACUGUGGAGCUUUUAGCAGCCUUUCUGUACUGAUCAUUGACCAUAAUUCAAUUUCCAACCCAUCAGCUGAUUUCUUCCACAGCUGCCAGAAGAUUAGGUCCAUAAGAGCAGGAAACAAUCCAUUCCAAUGCACCUGUGAGCUAAGAGAAUUUAUCCAGAAUAUAGGCCAAGUAUCAAGUGAAGUGGUAGAGGGUUGGCCUGAUUCUUAUAAGUGUGACAAUCCAGAAAGUUAUAAGGGAACCCCACUAAAGGACUUUCAUGUGUCUCAGUUAUCCUGCAACACAGCUCUGCUGCUUGUCACCAUUGGGGUCACUGUGCUGGUGUUGACUGUUACUGUGACUGCCCUCUGUAUGUACUUUGAUCUGCCCUGGUAUCUCAGGAUGGUGUGUCAGUGGACCCAGACCCGGCACAGGGCAAGGAACCUACCCUUAGAAGAACUCCAAAGAACCCUUCAGUUCCAUGCUUUUAUUUCAUACAGUGAACACGAUUCUGCCUGGGUGAAGAAUGAACUGGUACCUUACCUAGAAAAAGAAGACCUAAGGAUUUGUCUCCAUGAGAGAAACUUUGUUCCUGGCAAGAGCAUUGUGGAGAAUAUCAUCAACUGCAUUGAGAAAAGUUACAAGUCCAUCUUUGUUUUGUCUCCCAACUUUGUUCAGAGUGAGUGGUGUCAUUAUGAACUCUACUUUGCUCAUCACAAUCUCUUUCAUGAAGGAUCUAAUAAUUUAAUCCUGAUCUUGCUGGAACCCAUUCCACAGAACUGCAUUCCCAGCAAGUAUCACAAGCUGAAGGCUCUCAUGACACAGCGGACUUACUUGGAAUGGCCCAAGGAGAAGAGCAAACAUGGACUUUUUUGGGCUAAUAUUAGAGCUGCUUUUAACAUGAAGUUGACAUUAAUUGCUGAAAACAAUAAUGCAGAAACUUAAAAAAAAUCAGGAAAUUCAAUUUAAGAAACCAUCAUUAACUUGGAUUCUGAUGAACAUGAUGAUUUUAAGUUUCUGUCUAGAUGAUACCUCUAUUAUAUCUACACAUUCUGGAAGACUAAAUGAAAACUAGGUUUUAACGAAGCUGAGGACCAAGGCUGGAGGCUGAGGUGGUGCUCAAACUUGCCUAUUACAGGUAGCUCAGUCUCUUCUGGUUCAACCAUUCAGUUUUGAGUGGAAACACACAAGUAAAUGGUCAUUCAAGGACCUUUCCUCUCCCUUCUCCUUUCCCAAAGAGAGUCUGUGGGAGCAGGAGUUUGUGGGACUUUAUGGCAGCAAGGAAAGUCAAACUCAGAAGUGUACCCAGUGGCCCUUGGAGUGUCCUAUGGAGCCUCCUUGAACUCUGGGAUUUGUACCUGUAUCAAGAUGCUCUAAAGGAUAACAACUAUUCUUAGGAAUGUCUAAUAUUACAAAAUGAUG
Panthera uncia (snow leopard) is the source of this 10836-nucleotide RNA transcript. It is a transcript of the gene named toll like receptor 6, with no coding region annotated. The record is from RefSeq and is a predicted model, not a curated record. NCBI's taxonomy places the organism in Eukaryota, Metazoa, Chordata, Mammalia, Carnivora, Felidae. The transcript has 2 exons.